AGACCUAUGAAGGUCGAAGGGGAAGAAAAGCUGUAUCGAUUGUUGAGAUCUGGCGACUUGUUUAAAUUUCAUCAGCCUCACUUCUAUGAACUCUCAGAGCUGAUUACCAACUCCUACCACUGUUAACCCUCAUCCAGGAACAAGCUUAUGUCUUUAACAUUCUGAGUGGGCUUCAGCAUCCUUGCAUAUGUUCAAUUCUUAAAAACCUGUUGAAAUAAAAGAUCAGGAGACAUAGGAAGGAUGCCAGAAGAGAGCGUGGCCUCACGUGUACCAGCUCUCUGCUCUCCUUUGCCUUGGGACGUUCCAUCCCUGGAAGUUUCCCUGCCCACAUCUUUGUAGAGAGUCCAUUCUCCAAGCUUCAGUGUGUCAUCUGUGAGGACCGUGACCCACCUGGUACAUCGCCUCAGGGCAUUCAUUUCAGGCUCCUUCUAAAUGGCCAAGGAUCUUGGAAGCAGAGGGAUCUGCAGAAGUGCUUGCAACACUUUCAGCCUUAACCAGCAUCAGAGACAAAAAUCCUUUCUGGAAUGAGCCUCUCAGGAACCUCUAGUGUUUGUGAAGUUCCUCAGGAAAUCUGAGGACAAGUGAGUUUGGAAAUGACACUGAGGGAUGGGGAAACAGGACUGCUGAUGAAGCUGACCAUCCUCAAGAUCUUGCUUUCUUUUGUAUGUUUGCAAAGAAUAUAUAGUACACUUCCUUGAUCUGUGGUUCCUAAAGUGUGAUUCCCAACAAGCAGCAUCAGGAUCAUCUGGAAACUUGAUAGAAAUGCACCCUUGGAAAUGCAAUGCUACAUCUCAAUGGGAUUUUCCAGUACAAAGAUUCUUUUCAAAUAACAUAAUUGUGGAUACACACCACUCCUACAGUGGCAAAUAACAAAGAAAAAUGAUUCAAUAUUUUCACCAAUAUAGAUUCCCUCCAGGUCUGUUUCCGUUUAUCCCAUUGUAUGUUUCAAAGUAAUUCACCUUGUCAUCAUAAGAGGGAAACAUUCCGUACGAAAAAAAUAGAAUAUUUAAAGUCACUUUUUUGCAACCUUCAAUAAGAUAAUUACCUAUGUAAUAUCUACAUCAAAACUUACAUGAAUAUAUUGAUAAGGAAUUUUGUAAUGGUUGUGUCAGGCUGACAACACCUGGGUCCAUUGAUAAUUUCAGUAAACAUCAAUUUCAAAAAGCCAGUUCAAAUGGAUAAUCAGAUAUUACGUAGAUCCUGAUGUAAUACAACAAGGAACACAUAGCAGCAGCCAUGAAGUGUCUUUCCUCCACAAACACCUCCCAAAUAUACUACUCUGAAUGAACUCAAAACUCUAACUCUGUCUACUAGUUUACAAGAAACCUAGAGGAUGGAGACAGGUCAAUGACAAUAUAGUGAAGAAUAAGUGAAAUUCAACUUGAAAAAGGACCUAACUCAUUCAACAAAAAAGGGUCAAUUGUUAAAGGUUAAAUAAAAUUUAAGAAAUGUAUAAAUCAAAUCAAA
RNAcentral lists this long non-coding RNA (1467 nucleotides) under Homo sapiens (human). RNAcentral's name for it is "testis expressed 41". Lineage: Eukaryota; Metazoa; Chordata; Mammalia; Primates; Hominidae. The record is from RNAcentral.